Molecule: ribosomal RNA, 416 nt
Filed under: uncultured bacterium
Lineage: Bacteria
Description: bacterial SSU rRNA
Rfam family: Bacterial small subunit ribosomal RNA
Source: RNAcentral
UGGGGAAUCUUGCGCAAUGGGCGAAAGCCUGACGCAGCGACGCCGCGUGGGGGAUGAAGGCCUUCGGGUUGUAAACCUCUUUCGGCAGGGACGAAACUGACGUGUACCUGCAGAAGAAGCGCCGGCUAACUACGUGCCAGCAGCCGCGGUAAUACGUAGGGCGCGAGCGUUGUCCGGAAUUAUUGGGCGUAAAGAGCUCGUAGGCGGUUUGUCGCGUCUGCCGUGAAAACCGGGGGCUUAACUCUCGGCUUGCGGUGGAUACGGGCAGACUAGAGUGCGGUAGGGGAGACUGGAAUUCCUGGUGUAGCGGUGAAAUGCGCAGAUAUCAGGAGGAACACCGGUGGCGAAGGCGGGUCUCUGGGCCGCUACUGACGCUGAGGAGCGAAAGCGUGGGGAGCGAACAGGAUUAGAUACCC